RNAcentral lists this ribosomal RNA (253 nucleotides) under uncultured bacterium. RNAcentral describes it as "partial 16S ribosomal RNA". It matches the Rfam family "Bacterial small subunit ribosomal RNA", at positions 524 to 776 of the family's 1533-position model. The record is from RNAcentral.
UACGUAGGGGGCAAGCGUUGUCCGGAUUUAUUGGGCGUAAAGAGCGUGUAGGCGGCCUUACAGGUCAGCUGUGAAAACUCGAGGCUCAACCUCGAGACGUCGGUUGAAACCGUAUGGCUAGAGUCCGGAAGAGGAGAGUGGAAUUCCCGGUGUAGCGGUGAAAUGCGCAGAUAUCGGGAAGAACACCCGUGGCGAAGGCGGCUCUCUGGGACGGUACUGACGCUGAGGCGCGAAAGCGUGGGGAGCAAACAGG